UACGUAGGUGGCAAGCGUUGUCCGGAAUUAUUGGGCGUAAAGCGCGCGCAGGUGGUUCUUUAAGUCUGAUGUGAAAGCCCACGGCUCAACCGUGGAAGGUCAUUGGAAACUGGGGAACUUGAGUGCAGAAGAGGAAAGUGGAAUUCCAAGUGUAGCGGUGAAAUGCGUAGAUAUUUGGAGGAACACCAGUGGCGAAGGCGACUUUCUGGUCUGUAACUGACACUGAGGCGCGAAAGCGUGGGGAGCAAACAGG
RNAcentral lists this ribosomal RNA (253 nucleotides) under uncultured bacterium. RNAcentral describes it as "partial 16S ribosomal RNA". It matches the Rfam family "Bacterial small subunit ribosomal RNA", at positions 524 to 776 of the family's 1533-position model. The record is from RNAcentral.